Molecule: long non-coding RNA, 227 nt
Filed under: Mustela putorius furo (domestic ferret)
Lineage: Eukaryota; Metazoa; Chordata; Mammalia; Carnivora; Mustelidae
Description: lncRNA (ENSMPUG00000026686.1)
Source: RNAcentral
GGCAUUCUGGUGGCUUCAAGGGACUUGGUGUCAGGAACCCUGGGGUGAAUUUCUGGAACUGCCUGCCUGACUCUGGGUGAAGAAUCACGAAAACCUACCCCGGAAACAAAGGAAUUAACACUGCAUGGAAACGAAUUGGAAUCGAAGUCAACGAAGGAAAGAAGACCAUGUUCUAGUUCAUGAAGAAUGAGGUAAAAAUGGAGUGAUUUUCAUUCUCCUGUUCUGUA